This 352-nucleotide ribosomal RNA is filed under the name uncultured bacterium. RNAcentral's name for it is "bacterial SSU rRNA". It matches the Rfam family "Bacterial small subunit ribosomal RNA", at positions 29 to 409 of the family's 1533-position model. The record is from RNAcentral.
AAUGAACGCUGGCGGCAGGCCUAACACAUGCAAGUCGAACGGAGCAGCAAUGCUCAGUGGCGGACGGGUGAGUAACGCGUGGGAACAUACCCUUUGGUACGGAAUAGCCUCGGGAAACUGGGAGUAAUACCGUAUGUGCUCGCAAGAGGAAAGAUUUAUCGCCAAAGGAUUGGCCCGCGUUGGAUUAGGUAGUUGGUGGGGUAAUGGCCUACCAAGCCGACGAUCCAUAGCNGGUUUGAGAGGAUGAUCAGCCACACUGGGACUGAGACACGGCCAGACUCCUACGGGAGGCAGCAGUGGGGAAUCUUAGACAAGUGGGGAAACCCUGAUCUAGCCAUGCCGCGUGAUCGAU